RNAcentral lists this long non-coding RNA (281 nucleotides) under Hordeum vulgare. RNAcentral describes it as "long non-coding RNA (HVUL_LNC014616)". The record is from RNAcentral. Lineage: Eukaryota; Viridiplantae; Streptophyta; Magnoliopsida; Poales; Poaceae.
UUAGUCUCCGAAUACAAUUCAUCAUAUUAGUCUCCGAAUUUAAAAUACCGAACAAAGUUAGAACAUUACAAGUCUCGAGACCGCGAGUAGCGAGUUUGUCUUCACAUUACAAGUCGAUAUCGAUCAUCUAAACUACCAUCACAUAGAAGAGAGCUGUGGGCAUCACUACCAUCUGUGCGCGCGCUGCCAUCAUCAGUGGUGGCAUCCUCGGCGGCACCAUCAGUGGUGUCAUCCCCGACGUCACUAGGGGUUGUGUAGUCGGGAUCGGUGUCUUCCGCGGC